UACCCUGACCCUCAGGGCAGCCCACAUGGGGUGGGGCCAUGUUCAAAGCCAGGGGGCCCCAGAUCUCUCUCCUGGCUUCUGUCCCUGCGUCCAACCUGCCCUCAACCCGCGGACGGAUAACUCGGCGGGCACACAGCUAUGCUGCUGCUCCUCCGCAAACCUCUUGGGCAGGCAGGGAGCCCCGUCCACCACCAGGUCAGCUGUGAAGGCCUUUCUGAGUCACUGUGGUCUGGGGAGAAGGACCCACAGGGUGGGAUGCAAGGAAGUGAGCAGAGAGCUGUCCGGGUAAUGCAGAGCGUCGAGGAGGCGGGGACAGGGACGCCGUCCCCAGGGGUGGGCAUGUGAGCACCACCCAGCAGAGAACUCUGGAACACGGAGAGGCCCAGGGGUGCUUCAGGAGCAGCAGAGCUCAUGUCUGGGUCUCCCCGCCACCCAGCUGCACUCUGUGGACACCUUCUGGGGGCCCGGCCUUCCAGAGCACUGCCCCAUGUCACAGCCAAACAGAAGCUAGGGAGGCCAGGCAAGUGGCAGGGGCCACGUGAACCCAGUCUGGAUCCCCAGCUCCAGGCUGCCAUGAGGCCGUCAGCGGGGACCAUCACUUUGGGGAAGACUUGGAGGCACCAGAGAGGCACGAGCAAGAGUCAGGAAGUGUCCUGCAGCUAUGUCAGAAGGAGCGAGGGGAGAGGGGUGGCGAGAGCCUGGGCCCAGGGGUGCCGUCAAGGCUUGGGAGGAAGCAGAGACACCCACACCCUGCAGAGUCACCAAGCAAUUGUCGGGCGGCAGGGCCACGUGCUCGCCAGGACGUGUGCUCCUGGUGGAGACAGGUGCACGCAGUGGGGACCCGGGGGGCCUGAGGCUGCCCCGUGGCCCUUCACACCACCAUCAGCCACCCAAGGUGACCAAGGGACAGAGCCCCCUGGGCUCCUGCAGAUGGGGUGGGAAGGCCCCCGUGACCCCUUCCCAGAGAAUCACAGGACGGCCAUCCGUUUGGGGGAGGAAAAGUCCCAAGAGGUUGAUUUAUCACCCACACCACUGGCCCAGGCAAGGGCAGCCCUUUCCCCUUGGCCUUCUUCGAGACAGGUGGGAAAGAACGGGAUGUCUUGUCCCACUGCCAGGGGACAGUGUAGGUGUGACAGUCCUGGCAAAGAUGAGUCACCUAGUUUAGCUCCAGUGUGGCCAGGAAGGGGCGACCCCUCCCUUGCGACACCCGGGCCACAAAUAUUGCCUUUGCAAAUGGAAACAAAAACAACCCAGCUAAGGAAGUCUCGUCCACCCUCAGCCUGUGGCUUCCAGGCCAAGCCAGGCGGACCUCGGCCUCACAACGCCCGGGGCCAUCCCAGCCAUGCAUGAAGCCCAGGACCCCACAGCUCCCUCUCUGCCUCAGACGGAGGACACUAUGUGGCCAACAGGUCAUCCCAUGCAGGGCCAGCCUGGGCAUCAGGUAAAGCCAAAGCUCCAGUAGGCGCAGGGGACACGAUGACCAAGAUACAAACAGCCAAACCCCCAAAUCUGUGGGUUGCCACCGCGGCCGUCCCUGUGAGCACAGCAGUGCUCUGUGUGUUGGAUGCUCUCCGAGAACCUGGCUCUGGCUUCUCAGAGCCACGCACACCUGGAGGGCAUCCGGCACCCCAUGGGGUUUUCUGGUCCCUGUCAGCUGUGGUGACACACUUCACUACCCACUCCGUGAAUCCUGCACUGACCCUGAGGCCCAUGGCUCUCCAAGAUUCAUCACUGGGAACAUUAGAGGAAGCCCCUUCUAGGGAGCAAUGGAGAGAGUGGGAUCUCACCACGCCCACCCUACUGACGUGUUCUAAAUUCCCAAAAGCACUUAAAAAACUUGGUGCCCAAACCUGGGAUUAACCCACAAAAGCAUCUACUUAGCACCCAACUUUUUGAUCCAAAGGCACCGCGGAUCCAGCUGUCUUUUCAGAAACAGGCACAAAAGAAGCUCUGAUCCUGGGAAGGAGGCCCGGGGGGCCUCGGGACGAUACCGCCCUGCAGAGAAAAUGAGCCACACCUUUGUGUGGCACCGAUGAAUGCCAGUCCCUGUGCCCAGACUCAAAGAGGAGCUCCCAGAGACCACGUGGGACAGACACCCAACCCCGGGGUGGACCAUCGCCUUUUAACAUAUUCUCUGAAACUCCAGCAAGCGCUUCCUGGCCUUUUCCAGAAACUGCUCGUGCAACUUGUUCUGCUCUGAAAUCUGCAGCUGAAUGUCGCGGAUCAUCUGGUUCUGCUUGUCCUCGUCUUCGAUGAUGCUGCUGUUCGAGGAGGAGCUCGGCCGAGUAGUGGAUCUCCAAGCUCAUGUCUGGGAGCUCCGCGGACUCAAACGAGGGCUUCUGCCUCCUCCACUCCAGCUCCAGCCUCGGCGGCUUCUGUGCGAAGGCCAUCCAGUCUGCUCCGCGCGCCUGCUCCUGCAGGUGAGGCUGGGGGCAGCUGUCCAUCAGUGUGGCCAGCUCGGAGGCCUCCUGCUCACACUCGGUGCUUUUAAAGAGCAAGUCCUCUUCGUCGACAGCCGUGUCCGCCUCGGCCAACGAUGUCUGACUUCCGUCCUUCACUGCAGGCUGGGCCAUCGGAUGGCAUCUGGGGAGUUCGACCGUGCUUCGUGAUUGUUUCAAAUCGGUCUUGGAUGACUUCUGGGAGACCUCGGCCUCUGCAGGAUCCCCGGACUCACCAGCAGGCAGCGACUCCACCUCGGCCGCCCCCUCUUGUGGGGUGUCACUAUCGCACCCCUGCAUGACUGAAAAGACCUGCUCCUGGGGGUCAGGGUCCGUCCUGGACCUUGAGUCGAGGUGCUGAUUCAAGUGCCUCUUGAGCUUCCUGUUUGAAUUAAACAGCUGCUCGAAGGCCGA
This is a non-coding RNA of Marmota flaviventris (yellow-bellied marmot), 2852 nucleotides long. The record is from RefSeq and is a predicted model, not a curated record. NCBI's taxonomy places the organism in Eukaryota, Metazoa, Chordata, Mammalia, Rodentia, Sciuridae.